UACGUAGGGGGCAAGCGUUGUCCGGAAUCAUUGGGCGUAAAGAGCGUGUAGGCGGUCCGUUAAGUCGGCUGUGAAAGUCCAAGGCUCAACCUUGGGAUGCCGGUCGAUACUGCCGGACUAGAGUUCGGAAGAGGCGAGUGGAAUUCCCGGUGUAGCGGUGAAAUGCGCAGAUAUCGGGAGGAACACCUACGGCGAAGGCAGCUCGCUGGGACGUUACUGACGCUGAGACGCGAAAGCGUGGGGAGCAAACAGG
This 253-nucleotide ribosomal RNA is filed under the name uncultured bacterium. Its description in RNAcentral is "partial 16S ribosomal RNA". It matches the Rfam family "Bacterial small subunit ribosomal RNA", at positions 524 to 776 of the family's 1533-position model. The record is from RNAcentral.